GAUCCUGCCGGAGGCUACCGCUAUUGGAGUUCGAUUANNCCNUGCGAGUCGAGAGUCUUAGGGACUCGGCGUACCGCUCAGUAACACGUGGGUAACCUGCCCUAUGCUGGGGAAUAACCUCGGGAAACUGAGAAUAAUGCCCCAUAGUCCACAAUGCCUGGAACGGUUUGUGGAUCAAAGCUCCGGCGGCAUAGGAUGGGCCUGCGGCGUAUCAGGUCGUAGGGGGUGUAACGUACCCUCUAGCCAUCGACGCGUACGGGUGUUGGGAGACAUAGCCCGGAGAUGGAUUCUGAGACACGAAUCCAGACCCUACGGGGUGCAGCAGGCGCGAAAACUUGGCAAUGCGAGAAAUCGUGACCAGGGAACUCCAAGUGGCUGGGGUAAGACCCAGUCUUUUCUUGACUCUUCAAAGGUCUUGGAAUAAGGGGUGGGUAAGGACGGUGCCAGCCGCCGCGGUAAUACCGGCGCCUCAAGUGGUAGUCGAUUUUAUUGGGCCUAAAACGUCCGUAGCCCGUUUGGUACAUUCGUGGGUAAAUCAACCAGCUCAACUGAUUGAAUUCUGCGAGCACGGCCAGACUUGGGACCGGGAGAGGUGUGGGGNACGCUCAGGGUAGGGGUAAAAUCCUGUCAUCCUGAGCGGACCACCUGUUUGCGAAGGCGC
RNAcentral lists this ribosomal RNA (661 nucleotides) under uncultured archaeon. Its description in RNAcentral is "bacterial SSU rRNA". It matches the Rfam family "Archaeal small subunit ribosomal RNA", at positions 10 to 675 of the family's 1478-position model. The record is from RNAcentral.